UACGUAGGGUGCGAGCGUUGUCCGGAAUUACUGGGCGUAAAGAGCUCGUAGGCGGUUUGUCACGUCGUCUGUGAAAUCCUCCAGCUUAACUGGGGGCGUGCAGGCGAUACGGGCAGACUUGAGUACUGUAGGGGAGACUGGAAUUCCCGGUGUAGCGGUGAAAUGCGUAGAGAUCGGGAGGAACAUCGAUGGCGAAGGCAGCCAUCUGGACCAGCACUGACGCUGAGGCACGAAAGCGUGGGGAGCAAACAGGAUUAGA
This 259-nucleotide ribosomal RNA is filed under the name uncultured prokaryote. RNAcentral describes it as "partial 16S ribosomal RNA". It matches the Rfam family "Bacterial small subunit ribosomal RNA", at positions 524 to 782 of the family's 1533-position model. The record is from RNAcentral.